UAAUACAGAGGGUGCGAGCGUUAAUCGGAAUUACUGGGCGUAAAGGGUGCGUAGGUGGUUAGAUCAGUUAGGUGUGAAAGUCCUGGGCUUAACCUGGGGAUUGCGCCUAAUACUGUGUAGCUAGAGUACUGUAGAGGAAAGUGGAAUUUCCGGUGUAGCGGUGAAAUGCGUAGAUAUCGGAAGGAACAUCAGUGGCGAAGGCGACUUUCUGGACAGCUACUGACACUGAGGCACGAAAGCGUGGGGAGCAAACAGGAUUAGAUACCCUGGUAGUCCAUGCUGUAAACGAUGAAGACUGGCUGUUGGGAACCUUAGGGUUCUUAGUAGCGAAGCUAACGCGUUAAGUCUUCCGCCUGGGGAGUACGGCCGCAAGGUUA
RNAcentral lists this ribosomal RNA (377 nucleotides) under uncultured bacterium. RNAcentral describes it as "bacterial SSU rRNA". It matches the Rfam family "Bacterial small subunit ribosomal RNA", at positions 521 to 896 of the family's 1533-position model. The record is from RNAcentral.